GACGAACGCUGGCGGCGUGCUUAACACAUGCAAGUCGAACGAAGAGCGAUGGAAGCUUGCUUCUAUCAAUCUUAGUGGCGAACGGGUGAGUAACGCGUAAUCAACCUGCCCUUCAGAGGGGGACAACAGUUGGAAACGACUGCUAAUACCGCAUACGAUCUAAACUCGGCAUCGAGGAUAGAUGAAAGGUGGCCUCUACAUGUAAGCUAUCACUGAAGGAGGGGAUUGCGUCUGAUUAGCUAGUUGGAGGGGUAACGGCCCACCAAGGCGAUGAUCAGUAGGCGGUCUGAGAGGAUGAACGGCCACAGUGGGACUGAGACACGGCCCAGACUCCUACGGGAGGCAGCAGUGGGGAACCUUCCGCAAUGGACGAAAGUCUGACGGAGCAACGCCGCGUGAGUGAUGACGGCCUUCGGGUUGUAAAGCUCUGUUAAUCGGGACGAAAGGCCUUCUUGCGAAUAGUGAGAAGGAUUGACGGUACCGGAAUAGAAAGCCACGGCUAACUACGUG
This 510-nucleotide ribosomal RNA is filed under the name uncultured bacterium. Its description in RNAcentral is "partial 16S ribosomal RNA". It matches the Rfam family "Bacterial small subunit ribosomal RNA", at positions 28 to 507 of the family's 1533-position model. The record is from RNAcentral.